UACGGAGGGUGCAAGCGUUAUCCGGAUUCACUGGGUUUAAAGGGUGUGUAGGCGGGCUGUUAAGUCAGUGGUGGAAAUCUCCGGGCCUCAACCCGGAAACUGCCAUUGAUACUAUCAGUUCUUGAAUUCUGGUUGAGGUGGGCGGAAUAUGUCAUGAUAGCGGUGAAAUGCUAGAUAUGACAAUAGAACACCAAUUGCGAAGGCAGCUCACUAAGCAGAUAAUUGACGCUGGAGGCAACGAAAGCGUGGGGAUCAAACAGG
Molecule: ribosomal RNA, 261 nt
Filed under: uncultured bacterium
Lineage: Bacteria
Description: partial 16S ribosomal RNA
Rfam family: Bacterial small subunit ribosomal RNA
Source: RNAcentral